This is a long non-coding RNA of Vespa crabro (European hornet), 1603 nucleotides long. RefSeq lists it as uncharacterized. NCBI's taxonomy places the organism in Eukaryota, Metazoa, Arthropoda, Insecta, Hymenoptera, Vespidae. The record is from RefSeq and is a predicted model, not a curated record. The transcript has 3 exons.
AAGAAAGAAGAGAGAAGAAAAGAGAAAGCGAAGGAUAAAAAAAAUUAAGUAAGUAAGUAAGAAAGGAAAAUAGAAAGAAAGAAAGAAGGUAAGGAAGGAAGAAAGAAAGAAAAACGCGAGUCUCUCGAAAAUACGAUCGUUUUCCUCGAAUGAGAUAGGAAUAAAAUCUCGAACGCGCGCGGAGGAGUUUUCAUGGCAGGCGCGUGCGGCCGAGAGUGCGAAAUACGCGCUUGACCUUAGAGCCAGUCAUCGCACCGCGAGGUCGACGGAUAAAUCGCCGGAGUGGAAAACAAGAAACCGACGCGCGGCGCGCCGGCGCUCUCUCUCUCUCUCUCUCUCUCUCUCUCUCUCUCUUUUUUCUGUCUGUCUGUCUAUCUGUCUCUCUUUCUCUCUCACUUCUCCUUCUUCGACGCGUCGAAUCGCAUCCAACCGAAUGAACGAACGAACGAACGAACGAACGGAAGGAGCCUUAUCUACUCUCACGAUGAAAUAAGAAGCCAGUUUCCAUACUUGAGUUCGACCAGAAAGCAUUCAUUAUUUAAACUUUCAAAGCGAAUGGAUCCAAAGAGGUUGGAGGAGAUUGGAAGAGGUUUGGCGGUGGUUGGCGGAGAUUGAAGGAGAUUGAAGGAGGAGAAGGAAGAGGAGGAGAAGGAGGAGGAAGAGGUCGAUAUCGUCGUCAGAGCACUUUCGUUGCCGUUACGCGAGCGCCGAUCCAACGAGUGACUACUGAAAGGAGAAAUGGGAACGAGCAGUGGUUCUUCUCCCGCUAAAAUAAUCAUCAUUUUAAUUUUAAUUGCAGUGAAUAAAUGAAAUGAAAAAUUCACAGUAACGUUUAUGACAACGAGAUGACGAAGACGACGUUGACGAUGGGGGAUGAUGAGGAUGAGGAUGAUAAGGAUGAUGUGGAUGAUGAUGAUGAUGAUGAUGAUGAUGAUGAUGAUGAUGAUGAUGAUGAUGAUGACGAGGAUGACGAUCGCAAGGACGCGGCCGAGCGUUCGCGCGGAAACGAGUCGACGUGAGUAGGUCAACGACUUUGAGUCGAUGCAAACAGCCUUGCGUCUAACGAGCCAACGAUCCCUCAACGACUACGAUGACGACGACGACGACGACGACGACGAAGACAACGGAGACGGAGACGGAGACGAUUCUCAGUUGCUCUACUUUGAUUAUGUAGGUUAUUCGCGGAAAAAAAAAGGAAAGAAAAAAAAAAGAAGGAAAAAAGAAAAAACGGUGACGAGCACCGGUCAUCAUUUUAUCCGCCUACUAAAAAUACUUCGAUCGAUAGACCGAUAUAUCGGCUUUUUCCAACGAAAAACACGAGAGAACGUCGCAAAUAAGUUGUCGCAUAUCGUUCGCCAAUAAAAUAAUUUUCCAUUUCUUAUAGAAAUUAUAAAGAGAAUGCAAAAAAAAAAAAAAAGAAAGAAAAAGAAGAAGAAGAAGAAGAAAAAAAAGAAGAUCUAAUUUUUCUAAUCGUUCCAGUUUUAUCGCGUUAAAAUAUUUCUUAUUAGAACAAAUCCAAAUUUUACAUAGAAUAUGAUUAAAAAUCUGCAAAUAGGUAAAUGUGAGAAAUUUCUAAUUUGAAAAUUAUAAAUAUUGAUUUGUA